AUUGACGCUGGCGGCAGGCCUAACACAUGCAAGUCGAACGGUAGCACACAUAGCUUGCUCUCGGGUGACGAGUGGCGGACGGGUGAGUAAUGUCUGGGAAACUGCCUGAUGGAGGGGGAUAACUACUGGAAACGGUAGCUAAUACCGCAUAACGUCGCAAGACCAAAGAGGGGGACCUUCGGGCCUCUUGCCAUCAGAUGUGCCCAGAUGGGAUUAGCUAGUAGGUGGGGUAACGGCUCACCUAGGCGACGAUCCCUAGCUGGUCUGAGAGGAUGACCAGCCACACUGGAACUGAGACACGGUCCAGACUCCUACGGGAGGCAGCAGUGGGGAAUAUUGCACAAUGGGCGCAAGCCUGAUGCAGCCAUGCCGCGUGUAUGAAGAAGGCCUUCGGGUUGUAAAGUACUUUCAGCGGGGAGGAAGGCGAUAAGGUUAAUAACCUUGUCGAUUGACGUUACCCGCAGAAGAAGCACCGGCUAACUCCGUGCCAGCAGCCGCGGUAAUACGGAGGGUGCAAGCGUUAAUCGGAAUUACUGGGCGUAAAGCGCACGCAGGGCGGUCUGUCAAGUCGGAUGUGAAAUCCCCGGGCUCAACCUGGGAACUGCAUUCGAAACUGGCAGGCUAGAGUCUUGUAGAGGGGGGUAGAAUUCCAGUGUAGCGGUGAAAUGCGUAGAGAUCUGGAGGAAUACCGGUGGCGAAGGCGGCCCCUGGACAAAGACUGACGCUCAGGUGCGAAGCGUGGGGAGCAACAGGAUUAGAUACCCUGGUAGUCCACGCCGUAACGAUGUCGACUUGGAGGUUGUGCCCUUGAGGCGUGCCUUCCGGAGCUACGCGUUAAGUCGACCGCCUG
RNAcentral lists this ribosomal RNA (850 nucleotides) under Klebsiella oxytoca. RNAcentral describes it as "bacterial SSU rRNA". It matches the Rfam family "Bacterial small subunit ribosomal RNA", at positions 28 to 875 of the family's 1533-position model. Lineage: Bacteria; Pseudomonadati; Pseudomonadota; Gammaproteobacteria; Enterobacterales; Enterobacteriaceae. The record is from RNAcentral.